Molecule: long non-coding RNA, 1211 nt
Organism: Gallus gallus (chicken)
Lineage: Eukaryota; Metazoa; Chordata; Aves; Galliformes; Phasianidae
Exons: 2
Source: RefSeq, a predicted model, not a curated record
CCGAGCGAGCGCAGCAGCGCCAUGGCCGCGCCGGGCCCCGCGCGGAACCGCCGCCACAGCGCAUGCGCACAGAGCGGCUCAGCGCCUCGCGUCCGACCCGCGCCUCCCCUCUGCCGGCUUAAAGCCGUUCCCCCUCGUCCUCACAUCGUGCGAAUAGUCGCUCCCCUUCUCGCUUCGAGCUCGGUACCGACCUCAGCAAGCCCUCUCUCCCUCCCCACCCGCGGUGCCUGCGGGGCUGGAGCCGGCAGCGAUCGGAGCUGCAAAGCGGCGUGCUUAAGGAGCGCGGGCACCGACCCGGCGCUCCGACACCCCGCGCUGCUGCUCGGCAAGACCAGAGGCUGCUGUCGGCGCCCUCCCAUCAGCUACAGCCGAGGCGAUGCUGCGGAGCGAGCGCCCCGCCGUGCCGCCCCGCGCCGCCCCGCUAGGUGUCAGUGCGCCCAUUGCGGUCCCGGGCCGUAUCUCAGCGCUCCGGCUGCUCUCCGCCGCUCGGGGCUGCCGCGCAUCGUCCCGCUGCGUGCCGGGGAGAAGCGAAGAGCUGCGGUUGGUUUCACCGACAGCCGUCACAGUGUGUCGUUAUAGGGGAGCGUUUCGUUAAAGUUCGUUUUCCAGACUUCGAUCCUAACAGCGUUCUGCGCCGCUGUCGUUACCGUGCACCGCAGGCGGAGCCGCGUCCCGUCCGCGCGGAGGGCUGCGAUGCGCUCACAUCGGAGCCUGAUAGAGAAGCUUGAAGACAAGUGCUGGCUCUGCAUUGAGCCACCUGCGAAGCUCCUUUGAGACAGUGAGGUGACAUGACGGCAAUGGGCUUUGAAAGCCCACCCUCCAGGUGUGAAGAGGACAGGCUGCUGGUGUGAAGGGAUACGCAGAGCUCCCUACCAUGAGCUUCCAGCUCCACUGAAACAGAAGCAGGUUCCCACUGAUGCCAGCACAGCAGAAGAUCUGACACCUAUGGAUGGACCUUAACACUGAACAUGAUUGAGCAGAACAUAAAAGCACCACCUGCCUCUGAGCUUCUCAUCCUCUGUGAACCCAACCAUUUUGCUCAGCCACAUACAAAGAAGAAACCAGCAGUGCUAUGAGGGGCAUCACAUGGGUACCUGCAGCUCAAAGCAGUCAGAGCACACCUCACAUCCCACACUUUGCACCCUUCCUGCAGCAUUUUUAGCAUGCGAUGCGUUUAUAACCGAUCAGUCUUUGCCUUUGUUAAGUCCCCA